Molecule: unclassified non-coding RNA, 4561 nt
Filed under: Trichogramma pretiosum
Lineage: Eukaryota; Metazoa; Arthropoda; Insecta; Hymenoptera; Trichogrammatidae
Description: gamma-aminobutyric acid type B receptor subunit 1, transcript variant X6
Source: RNAcentral
CUUUGCCUCCCUCGUUAUAUAUACGUUGUAUAUAAACUGGCUGGCAGUCGCCAAAAGCAGUCGUGUGCCUUAGUUUAGACUCUCCUGUCGAGCUUUUCGCGUCGUUGUCCUCUCUCGGCACGUACGUAACGAGUGCACACGUAGUACAGUCGGAUCUCUCGUAAGUGUGUGUGUGUGCUCGAGGGCCGAGCGCGACUUUAAGUCGUCGGAAUGUGGCCCGAAGAGAUGAGGUAAGACACAGUCGGGCUCCAUAAACGAGUUGGUCGGCCGCGAGCAAACACGAGGAUGACACCAAGUUUGGUGCGUUGCGUCGCCUACUACUUGGUGGCGAUAGGCCACUACUGCUACUACUGCCAGGCGAAGAUCAGCUCGAGGGAGGACAAUGUCCUGCACAUCGGUGGCAUCUUCCCGAUCGCUGGCGAGGGCGGCUGGCAAGGUGGUCAGGCGUGCAUGCCAGCGGCCAAUCUCGCCCUCGAGGACGUCAACAACGAAAAGAAUCUACUGCCGGGAUUCACCCUGAAGCUGCACUCGAACGACAGCGAGUGCGAGCCGGGACUGGGCGCCGCGGUCAUGUACAACCUGCUGUACAAUCCGCCGCAGAAGCUGAUGCUGCUCGCGGGCUGCAGCACCGUCUGCACGACCGUCGCCGAGGCGGCCAAGAUGUGGAACCUCGUGGUGCUGUGCUACGGGGCCUCGUCGCCGGCCCUCUCGGAUCGCAAUCGCUUCCCCACCCUCUUCCGGACGCAUCCCUCGGCCACCGUGCACAAUCCGACGAGGAUCAAGCUGCUGCAAAAGUUCGGCUGGUCCCGGGUCGCCAUACUCCAGCAGACCGAGGAGGUCUUUAUUUCGACAGUGGAGGACCUGGAGAACCGUUGCAAGGAGGCCGGCAUCGAGAUCGUGACGCGCCAGAGCUUCCUCACGGACCCGUCGGACGCGGUGCGCAAUCUGCGCCGUCAGGACGCGCGCAUCAUCGUCGGCCUGUUCUACGUGGUGGCCGCGCGCCGGGUGCUCUGCGAGAUCUACCUCAACGGCCUCUACGGCAAGUCCUACGUGUGGUUCUUCAUCGGCUGGUACGAGGACAACUGGUUCGAGGUGAAUCUCGACAAGGAGGGCAUCAGCUGCACCAAGGAGCAAAUGAGGCAGGCCGCAGAGGGCCAUCUGACGACCGAGGCCCUCAUGUGGAACCAGAACAACGACACGACCAUCAGCGGCAUGACCAGCGAGGACUUCAGGCAGCGCCUCAAUCGGGCUCUGAAGAAGGACGGCUACGACAUCGACAACAAUCGCUACCCCGAGGGCUAUCAGGAGGCGCCCUUGGCUUACGACGCCGUCUGGUCCGUCGCCUUGGCGUUUAAUAAGACCAUGGACCGGCUGAGCAAGCAGGGCAAGAGCCUGAAAAACUUUACCUACAACGACAAAGAGAUGGCCGACGAGAUAUACUCGGCCAUCAAUUCGACUCAGUUCAUCGGGGUCUCGGGCUACGUGGCGUUCAGCUCGCAAGGCGACCGCAUAGCCCUGACCCAGAUCGAGCAGGUGAUCGACGGCAAGUACGCCAAGCUCGGCUACUACGACACCCAGAUGGACAAUCUCACCUGGCACAACAUGGAGCGCUGGAUCGGCGGCAAGGUGCCCCAGGACCGUACCAUCGUCAAGAAGCUGCUGCGCACCGUCUCGCUGCCCCUCUUCAUCACCAUGUGCAGCUUCUCCACGCUCGGCAUCGUCGUCGCCCUCGGCCUGAUCCUGUUCAACGUCUGGAAUCGGCACAGGCGCGUCAUCGUCUCCUCGCAUCCGGUCUGCAACACCAUCAUGCUCUGCGGCACCAUCGCCUGCUUCAUCUCGGUCUUCCUGCUGGGCCUGGACGGCCGCUUCAUCAGCGCCGACGAGUACCCGAAGGUCUGCCAGGCUCGAGCCUGGGUACUCUCCGUCGGCUUCACCCUGGCCUUCGGCGCCAUGUUCAGCAAGGUCUGGCGCGUCCAUCGACUCAACACCAAGACCAAGGCCGACCACGCCAAGCUCUUCAUGUCCAAGCAGAAGAUAUCCUCGAUCCAGAAGAAGGUCCAGCCCUGGAAGCUGUACACGAUGGUGAGCGUGCUGCUGGCCAUCGACGUCAUCAUCCUCGGGGUCUGGCAGCUCGUCGACCCGCUCCAGCGCACCAUCGAGGUCUUUCCCCUGGAGAUGUCGACGGCUGGGGACGACGACGCCCGCAUCAGGCCCGAGCUCGAGCACUGCGAGAGCGAGAACAACAUGAUCUGGCUUGGCAUCAUUUACGCUUACAAGGGGGUAAUACUGGUGUUCGGUCUGUUCCUGGCCUACGAGACGCGCAGCAUCAAAGUGAAGCAGAUCAACGACUCGCGCUACGUCGGCAUGUCCAUCUACAACGUGGUGGUGCUCUGCCUCAUCACGGCCCCCGUCACGAUGGUCAUCGCCAGCCAGCAGGACGCCACCUUCGUCUUCUCCGCCCUGGCCAUCAUAUUCUGCUGCUUCCUCAGCAUGGCCCUCAUAUUCGUGCCCAAGGUCAUCGAGGUCAUCAGGCAUCCCAAGGACAAGGCCGAGUCCAAGUACAAUCCCGACAUCACCAUGUCCAAGGAGGACGAGGAAAAGUACCAGAAGAUCGUCAGCGAGAACGACGAGCUGCAAAAGCUCAUACAGCAGAAAGUGGAGAAAAUCCAAAAGAUCAAGGCCCAAUUGGCGGAGCUGGAAAAGGACGGGGGCGGCAGCAACAACGGCGGUGGCGGAAGUGGUAAAGAUUCGCUUAUCGUAGCCGACUACGUGACCGGCGAGGGAACGUCCGAUAGCGCCAUCGGUGGGGGUAUAUCCAUUUAUACGAGAUCCUCGCGCGCGUCCGGUUCCGACUUUGAGUUUUCCGAGUCUUAUCUCUAAGUGAAAAUUCAAAUCCAAAGAGGAGAAAUUAGCCGAAUUCCAAGCUGAACUUUAACAACCGAUUCUCACCUGCAACCAUUAGCAAUUCAUUGUGUAUAAGAGUAAAAUAACGUAUUUAUAAAUAGACGUCUAGUACAAAGUUUUGUGGGACCUACCAAGAGGCGCUACGACAGAUGGACAACGUGUACCUAAAUAUACAAAUAAUACUACAUAAAACACCUACAACUACUACUAAUCUAUCGCAUAUACAAAUGUUGUACGUUUAGAAGACGAUCGGCUUACGGAGAUCGCGCUAACAACGCCGCCGGCUGACAUUGGGAGAGUUGAGGUCACGUGAAAUUCGUGUACUAAAAGCUACACGAGCUCAGGCAGGCAAACGGAUGACAAAAAUAACGAUAUAAUCGGCCCCCGUUUGAAUCACGUGAUCGACCAACUAAAUACCAAACUCGCUCCUCUCUUUUUAUACAUCUGCAAAAAAAGUAAUCAAUAAUAUAAUUGCCGAAAUCUUAGAAGACUGGAUAGAAGAGGAAGAUACGAACAACAUCAAAGAAACGAAUCGAUAACGACGAAACAAUUAUGUGUACACGGGUGUGUGGUACCGAAAAAUAACUUCAAUUGUGCACUGCGAACGUUCAACUGCGAAUUCGUAUACAAUACAUUUAUAUAUGUGUUAGGAUUUAUAUUAUAUACAUAUUAUAUACGACAAAGUCCGUUUUUACGAGUUUAGAUAAAAAGGAAAAAAAAACCAAAUCUUUACUAUUAUCGAUAAAUAAAAUUGCCGAAUCUCUACAUAUAACGUAAACUCUACUGUACUGUGAUCUCUGUAAUUAAAAUUUUGUUUCGUGGAUGAUUAAUUUCCACGAAUGAAACACGAUUCUCAUUAAUCCAAAGUAAUUUUUCAAUAGGAAGCAGCACGGUAUUAUGCAAUUGUAGUAGCAAUUAUAUGAAUUCUAGAAUUCAACGAUGAUAAAGUCGAAAUGUUUAAAUGAUAAGAUACAAGAAAAAUAUGGUGCAGAAAAUGAUUUUUAACUCGACUCAUUUAUAACGAUCUGUGAACGUUACGUUACGUUUCUCGCGUCAAGUUGAAAAAUGUACAUAAAAAUAAUUAUUUUGCAAACUGUUUAAGUUUCAAUAUUGUAUAUAUGAAUAAUUAAAUAGAGGAUUUGUUAAAUUUUGUUGUUCCGAGAAAGAAGGGAACACCAUAAUUAUUUAUGCGCACACUGUCAAUACACAAAAUUUAGAUUACUAUACCAUCGUUAUAUGAUUUUAAAUAAUUUGUAAAUACGGUGUGCAAAGUUACGUUACACGAAGACGAUAAAAACUGUAUGAUAUACAAUAUUAUGUGAUGGAAGAAAGUAUAUUUAUGAAAAGUUAUUGUUUCAAUUUGUCCAAUACGCAAACAAAUCUGCAAUUCGAUUUAUAAUCCUAUUGUAGUAAAAAUUUCAGAAAAAAAGAUUAAACUGGAUAAGGAUUCAACUUAAUACAGAAAAAUAAUAACAUUAGUGGCAAUGCUAAACUGUGGCAGACGUACUUUAAGAUACGAUUUGAUUUGAUCGCGAAAAAGAGAAAAGAAGGAUGAAAAUAGUAAUUAAUACGCAAAUACAAGAGUUGACGUUGUUUUUUAAACGUUUUUAUUCAUUCGUCGUACUUUCAAUAAGUAUAAUAAAUGUUUUAUUUGAAA